RNAcentral lists this transfer RNA (541 nucleotides) under uncultured Prochlorococcus sp. RNAcentral describes it as "partial 16S-23S ribosomal RNA intergenic spacer". The stretch from base 211 to 283 matches the Rfam family "tRNA". Lineage: Bacteria; Bacillati; Cyanobacteriota; Cyanophyceae; Synechococcales; Prochlorococcaceae. The record is from RNAcentral.
CAGGGAGACAACAAAAUGUUUAAUAUUAUUAUUUUGUCACCUUAGGUCGAUCGGUAUCUCACAUUCUUAAUUUAUUAAGGAUUUCAUUUCCUAAGUUUUUCUAGGUCACACCCAUUAUUUUCCUGGGCCAUUAGCUCAGGUGGUUAGAGCGCACCCCUGAUAAGGGUGAGGUCCCUGGUUCAAGUCCAGGAUGGCCCAUAUCUCUAUGUUGGGGGUAUAGCUCAGCUGGUAGAGCGCCUGCUUUGCAAGCAGGAUGUCAGCGGUUCGAGUCCGCUUACCUCCACUGAUUACCACCUCUUACAUAAUCUGUAGAAAGGGAAUUUUUUGAGUCGUGACCAAAUUCUGAAAGAAUCUAGCUUCCUAAUGAAAUCAUUAAGAUGCUGGACUCAUUGAAUUAAUUUCAUUGUUUUCAGAGAACCUUGACAACUGCAUAGAUUAUUUUUUAAAGACAAUAAGCAUCUUUAAUGAUGCAGAUUUAUUAUUUGUGCGAAUGCAUUAAUAACAAUUCUAUUAAGCUGAUGCUUCAAUUUUUGAAGUUAUU